GAUGAACGCUGGCGGCGUGCUUAACACAUGCAAGUCGAACGAUGAAGCCCAGCUUGCUGGGUGGAUUAGUGGCGAACGGGUGAGUAACACGUGAGUAACCUGCCCUUAACUCUGGGAUAAGCCUGGGAAACUGGGUCUAAUACCGGAUAGGAGCGUCCACCGCAUGGUGGGUGUUGGAAAGAUUUAUCGGUUUUAGAUGGACUCGCGGCCUAUCAGCUUGUUGGUGAGGUAAUGGCUCACCAAGGCGACGACGGGUAGCCGGCCUGAGAGGGGGACCGGCCACACUUGGACUGAGAAACCGGCCCGAACCCCACGGGAGGCCGCAGGGGGGAAUAAUUCAACAUGGGCGCAAGCCUGAUGCAGCGACGCCGCGUGAGGGAUGACGGCCUUCGGGUUGUAAACCUCUUUCAGUAGGGAAGAAGCGAAAGUGACGGUACCUGCAGAAGAAGCACCGGCUAACUACGUG
This 466-nucleotide ribosomal RNA is filed under the name uncultured bacterium. Its description in RNAcentral is "partial 16S ribosomal RNA". It matches the Rfam family "Bacterial small subunit ribosomal RNA", at positions 28 to 507 of the family's 1533-position model. The record is from RNAcentral.